UCCUACGGGGGGCAGCAGUGGGGGAUAUUGCACAAUGGGGGAAACCCUGAUGCAGCGACGCCGCGUGUGGGAAGACGGUCCUCUGGAUUGUAAACCACUGUCCCCAGGGACGAAGAUGACGGUACCUGGGGAGGAAGCUCCGGCUAACUACGUGCCAGCAGCCGCGGUAAUACGGAGGAUGCGAGCGUUAUCCGGAUUUAUUGGGUUUAAAGGGUGCGUAGGCGGAUUUUUAAGUCAGCGGUAAAAUGUCCGGGCUCAACCCGGGCCGGCCGUUGAAACUGGGGAUCUUGAGUGGGCGAGA
RNAcentral lists this ribosomal RNA (301 nucleotides) under uncultured bacterium. RNAcentral describes it as "bacterial SSU rRNA". It matches the Rfam family "Bacterial small subunit ribosomal RNA", at positions 337 to 655 of the family's 1533-position model. The record is from RNAcentral.